RNAcentral lists this unclassified non-coding RNA (328 nucleotides) under Hevea brasiliensis (rubber tree). Lineage: Eukaryota; Viridiplantae; Streptophyta; Magnoliopsida; Malpighiales; Euphorbiaceae. The record is from RNAcentral.
CGGAAUGAAAAUUGCUUCGUUAGCACUCCAAGGGGAACAUCAGGAAAUCUAGAAUUUCCCAUUUCAAUGUUAGAGUUGAUGGUUUCAACAACCCAUAAAGAAUGCUGGAGCUUAGCUUUGUUGUAUGACGCCAUCAGGGGUACACAAUCUCCAGUCCAAAUGGUCCUUUCAUCAACUUCUUUGUUAAAGUUCAAUUUCCCCCUCUCCUCAAUAUAGGUUGGCUGAGGUUCUUCCAGAGGAUCCUUUAAUAUCAGAUGUGAGGACAUUGAAGACCCAUCUCCCCUGAUAGUAAAAUCUAAACCAUGUACAGCAGUAUAAUUCUGCUGAG